This 202-nucleotide long non-coding RNA is filed under the name Lathyrus oleraceus (garden pea). RNAcentral describes it as "Pisum sativum (pea) long non-coding RNA (PSAT_LNC041182)". The record is from RNAcentral. Lineage: Eukaryota; Viridiplantae; Streptophyta; Magnoliopsida; Fabales; Fabaceae.
UUUUUCGCACACUGUAUUUUUCAGGUUGCGACAGGAAGGUACCAUGACCCUAAAGGUAUAUGAUGAAGAGCUCAGAAUUGAUGUCCGAGAUACUAUGAAACAUAAAGAGGAUAUGUAUAUAAACCACUCUAUGGAAGUAAUUGAUCAAAUUGUAACAAGCACAAUUCAAAGAAAGUUUCCUGAAUUACCGGUGGAAAGAGUU